Long non-coding RNA from Mytilus californianus (California mussel), 399 nucleotides. RefSeq lists it as uncharacterized. The record is from RefSeq and is a predicted model, not a curated record. NCBI's taxonomy places the organism in Eukaryota, Metazoa, Mollusca, Bivalvia, Mytilida, Mytilidae. The transcript has 2 exons.
GCUUGAAACCCACAUGUUUUGAACGGACGGAUUGUUUUGGUUGCAUAAGGCGAAGAAUGGCCCAUUUACCCAAGGAUUUCAGCAAACAAGUAGAAUCGUACGACAUACUUUGACUAUGAGUUCAAGAUGACAAUGAUGAGAACAAAAGUGCAAAAGAUAAACCUUACAUGUACUAAUAAAUUGCAAUAAUUGACUGCAGAAUGUAUGAACAGUUGGUAAUCCACAGGCUUUGUGUCAAAAUACUUCGUUUUCAACACAUAUUUUAUCGUCAUCCAGAAAACAUGGAAAACAAUGUGUUCAGGGCAACAGUUAACUUCCCAACCAGACAUUCCACAGUGUGAUCAUGGUGAUGUCAAACAGCAUGUUAAAAACAUUAAUUUGAUUAAAUAUUUCUUUUUA